AAUCAACGCUGGCGGCGUGGAUAAGACAUGCAAGUCGAGCGGGAACUUUCGCUGUAGCAAUACAGUGAAAGUUCUAGCGGCGAACGGGUGCGUAACACGUGGACAAUCUGCCUUAAAGUGGGGGAUAGCUCGGCGAAAGCCGAAUUAAUACCGCAUGUGAUGAGAGACGACAUCGUCUUGAAAUCAAAGCCGGGGCAACCUGGCGCUUUUUGUAGGAGUCCGCGGCCUAUCAGCUAGUUGGUGAGGUAACGGCCCACCAAGGCUAUGACGGGUAGCUGGUCUGAGAGGACGGACCAGUCACACUGGAACUGAGACACGGUCCAGACACCUACGGGUGGCAGCAGUCGAGAAUUUUU
This 356-nucleotide ribosomal RNA is filed under the name uncultured bacterium. RNAcentral's name for it is "bacterial SSU rRNA". It matches the Rfam family "Bacterial small subunit ribosomal RNA", at positions 32 to 366 of the family's 1533-position model. The record is from RNAcentral.